This is a non-coding RNA of Pelobates cultripes (western spadefoot toad), 393 nucleotides long. NCBI's taxonomy places the organism in Eukaryota, Metazoa, Chordata, Amphibia, Anura, Pelobatidae. The record is from the annotation of a GenBank genome assembly.
CUCCAGUUAAGCUACGGCGGUUGUGGAGUCUGUGGUGGUUGUGGUGUCCGGUGCAGUGCUUGUGGUCCUUGACGCAAGCUAGGAAAUGUCCAUCAAUGGAAGGUACUCGGUCGGAGUACGGGGAGUUCCAUUACACACCCUCACACAGCACCCUCACACACACAGCACACUCACACAGGCACACUCACACAGCACCCUCUCACACACACACAACACAUUCAAACAGCCACACAGCACCCUCACACACACACAGCACCUUCACAGAUAGCUCACUCACACAGCCACACAGUACCAUCACAAACACAGCACCCUCUCACAGCACCUUCACACACACAGCACCCUCUCACACACACACACAGCACCCUCACACACAAUCCCUCCAAACAUAUUCAC